Molecule: small nuclear RNA, 23 nt
Filed under: Arabidopsis thaliana (thale cress)
Lineage: Eukaryota; Viridiplantae; Streptophyta; Magnoliopsida; Brassicales; Brassicaceae
Description: snRNA_12528
Source: RNAcentral
UCUCCUUCUCCUAAAGUAGACUA